UACGAAGGGGGCUAGCGUUGUUCGGAAUUACUGGGCGUAAAGCGCGCGCAGGUGGUCUUUCAAGUCAGUGGUGAAAGCCCGGAGCUCAACUCCGGAAUUGCCUUUAAGACUGCAUCGCUAGAAUUGUGGAGAGGUAAGUGGAAUUCCGAGUGUAGAGGUGAAAUUCGUAGAUAUUCGGAAGAACACCAGUGGCGAAGGCGACUUACUGGACACAUAUUGACGCUGAGGUGCGAAAGCGUGGGGAGCAAACAGG
Molecule: ribosomal RNA, 253 nt
Filed under: uncultured bacterium
Lineage: Bacteria
Description: partial 16S ribosomal RNA
Rfam family: Bacterial small subunit ribosomal RNA
Source: RNAcentral